RNAcentral lists this unclassified non-coding RNA (299 nucleotides) under plant metagenome. RNAcentral's name for it is "partial contains small subunit ribosomal RNA, internal transcribed spacer 1, and 5.8S ribosomal RNA". The record is from RNAcentral.
UUUCCGUAGGUGAACCUGCGGAAGGAUCAUUAUUGAAUAAACCUGAUGUGGUUGAAGCUGGCUCUUUCGAGGGCAUGUGCACACCCGUCAUCUUUAUAUUUCCACCUGUGCACUUUCUGUAGACCUGGAUGUAGCUUUCCGAGGAAACUCGGUCGGGAGGAAUGCUGUGUGUCAAUGCCAGCUUUUCUUGAUGUCCAGGCCUAUGUUUUAACAUACCCCAAAGGAUGUAACAGAAUGUAUCAUUGGGCCUUGUGCCUAUAAACUAUAUACAACUUUCAGCAACGGAUCUCUUGGCUCUC